Molecule: ribosomal RNA, 253 nt
Filed under: uncultured bacterium
Lineage: Bacteria
Description: partial 16S ribosomal RNA
Rfam family: Bacterial small subunit ribosomal RNA
Source: RNAcentral
UACGAAGGGGGCUAGCGUUGCUCGGAAUCACUGGGCGUAAAGCGCACGUAGGCGGGUCUUUAAGUCAGGGGUGAAAUCCUGGAGCUCAACUCCAGAACUGCCUUUGAUACUGAAGAUCUUGAGUUCGGGAGAGGUGAGUGGAACUGCGAGUGUAGAGGUGAAAUUCGUAGAUAUUCGCAAGAACACCAGUGGCGAAGGCGGCUCACUGGCCCGAUACUGACGCUGAGGCACGAAAGCGUAGGGAGCAAACAGG